Molecule: ribosomal RNA, 435 nt
Filed under: Ancistrotropis peduncularis
Lineage: Eukaryota; Viridiplantae; Streptophyta; Magnoliopsida; Fabales; Fabaceae
Description: eukaryotic LSU rRNA
Rfam family: Eukaryotic large subunit ribosomal RNA (bases 284-435)
Source: RNAcentral
ACUCGAGUCUUUGACGCAAGUUGCGCCCAAAGCCAUUAGGUUGAGGGCACGCCUGCCUGGGUGUCACACAUCGUUACCCCCCACUUAAAAUGUGGAAUGGGGUGAAAGUUGACUUCCCAUGAGCUAGUUCCUCGUGGUUGGUUCAAAAGUAAGUUCACGGUGGAGUUCCCCGCGAUAAAUGGUGGAUGAGCAAUGCUCGAGACCAAUGCGUGUGGGUUGACUUCAACGUAUCAGACUUGUUGACCCUAUGUGUCCUCUUUGUAAAUUGAGGGUGCCAUUAGCGAGACCUCAGGUCAGGCGGGGUUACCCGCUGAGUUUAAGCAUAUCAAUAAGCGGAGGAAAAGAAACUAACAAGGAUUCCCUUAGUAACGGCGAGCGAACCGGGAAGAGCCCACCAUGAGAAUCGAUUGCCUUCGGCGUUCGAAUUGUAGUUAG